Molecule: ribosomal RNA, 200 nt
Filed under: uncultured bacterium
Lineage: Bacteria
Description: partial 16S ribosomal RNA
Rfam family: Bacterial small subunit ribosomal RNA
Source: RNAcentral
AGAGUUUGAUCCUGGCUCAGGACGAACGCUGGCGGCGUGCCUAAUACAUGCAAGUCGAGCGGACCCUUCGGGGUCAGCGGCGGACGGGUGAGUAACACGUGGGCAAUCUGCCUGUCAGACUGGAAUAACGCCUGGAAACGGGUGCUAAUGCCGGAUAGGCUGCUUGGUCGCAUGACCGAGCAGGGAAAGAGGCUUUCGCC